CUACGAAGGGGGCAAGCGUUGUUAGGAAUAACUGGGCGUAAAGCGCACGUAGGCGGAAUGUUAAGUUAGAGGUGAAAUCCCAGGGCUCAACCGUGGAACGGACUUUAAUACUGGCAAUCUAGAGACCGAGAGAGGUGAGUGGAAUUCCGAGUGUAGAGGUGAAAUUCGUAGAUAUUCGGAGGAACACCAGUGGCGAAGGCGGCUCACUGGCUCGGUACUGACGCUGAGGUGCGAAAGCGUGGGGAGCAAACAGGAUUAGAAACCCUAGUAGUCC
Molecule: ribosomal RNA, 274 nt
Filed under: uncultured bacterium
Lineage: Bacteria
Description: partial 16S ribosomal RNA
Rfam family: Bacterial small subunit ribosomal RNA
Source: RNAcentral